CGAGCGCACCCUUGUCAUUAGUUGCUACAUUUAGUUGGGCACUCUAAUGAGACUGCCGGUGACAAACCGGAGGAAGGUGGGGAUGACGUCAAGUCCUCAUGGCCCUUAUCGGUGGGGCUACACACGUCAUACAAUGGCUGGUACAGAGGGUUGCCAACCCGCGAGGGGGAGCUAAUCCCAUAAAACCAGUCGUAGUCCGGAUCGCAGUCUGCAACUCGACUGCGUGAAGUCGGAAUCGCUAGUAAUCGCGGAUCAGCAUGCCGCGGUGAAUACGUUCCCGGGUCUU
RNAcentral lists this ribosomal RNA (286 nucleotides) under uncultured Delftia sp. Its description in RNAcentral is "partial 16S ribosomal RNA". It matches the Rfam family "Bacterial small subunit ribosomal RNA", at positions 1093 to 1382 of the family's 1533-position model. Lineage: Bacteria; Pseudomonadati; Pseudomonadota; Betaproteobacteria; Burkholderiales; Comamonadaceae. The record is from RNAcentral.